RNAcentral lists this ribosomal RNA (429 nucleotides) under Bacteroidota bacterium. Its description in RNAcentral is "Bacteroidetes bacterium partial 16S ribosomal RNA". It matches the Rfam family "Bacterial small subunit ribosomal RNA", at positions 355 to 776 of the family's 1533-position model. Lineage: Bacteria; Pseudomonadati; Bacteroidota. The record is from RNAcentral.
UAGGGAAUCUUCCGCAAUGGACGCAAGUCUGACGGAGCAACGCCGCGUGAGUGAAGAAGGAUUUCGGUUCGUAAAACUCUGUUGUUAGAGAAGAACAGCGUAUAGAGUAACUGUUAUGCGUGUGACGGUAUCUAACCAGAAAGCCACGGCUAACUACGUGCCAGCAGCCGCGGUAAUACGUAGGUGGCAAGCGUUGUCCGGAUUUAUUGGGCGUAAAGCGAGCGCAGGCGGUCAAUUAAGUCUGAUGUGAAAGCCCCCGGCUCAACCGGGGAGGGUCAUUGGAAACUGGUUGACUUGAGUGCAGAAGAGGAGAGUGGAAUUCCAUGUGUAGCGGUGAAAUGCGUAGAUAUAUGGAGGAACACCAGUGGCGAAGGCGACUCUCUGGUCUGUAACUGACGCUGAGGCUCGAAAGCGUGGGGAGCGAACAGG